This 1643-nucleotide long non-coding RNA is filed under the name Strigops habroptila (Kakapo). RNAcentral describes it as "lncRNA (ENSSHBG00005015783.1)". Lineage: Eukaryota; Metazoa; Chordata; Aves; Psittaciformes; Psittacidae. The record is from RNAcentral.
GAAACAGAAAAAGAUUUAUUAGAAAUAUGACACAGAUUUUUGCAUCGUACAUUUUAAUAAUGUUAAUCUUUAAAUAUUAGCAUGUCCAAAUCUGGCAAUGCCUAGUAUAUACAUUCUAAUGUGCUCUUUGUAUAAAUUAGAUUAUGAUGUAACAUCUGUACCCAACAGAGAAAGCGAAAACACUUGUUAGAGGUGAUUAUCCCAGAUGACAAACUCAAGCCUGGACCCACAAUCAAUAAAAACAUUGUGUCCAGCACUGCCCAGUGGAACUUGGCACAUGUGCGAGUCAGAAAUGUAGAGACCAUCAGCUGAGAAACAUGGUAACUGCAGUUCAGUUAUAAGCUUGAUUCUACACCGUAUUGGUGAGUGAGUCUAAAUGGCACUGGAGUUGGUAAAAACCAAUACAGUCUAGCAUAGUAUAAGUUAUUGCUGGGUAUAAAAAUGCUUUAAUGCUCAGUGCCCUGAGUCUUUUCAGGCAAAAGCCCUCUCCUGACAGGAAAAUGCAUAAUCUCAUCCCAUACAGACCCUGCCUUUCCUCAGAUACAUGAGGCACAGCUUUCCACACAGCUGCCCCGUCAGAUGCUUCCUGCUGGAAGACGUGGUACCGAAAGCACAGAAAGAUGAGGGAGAUACAAACCAACCAGUGAGCCAAUGCUCAGACUUCAUUGCCAAGGAAGAGAGAAAGUGCUGCAAAAAGAAAGAUUUGGAAGAGUUCCAGGUCAGGAAUCAAAUGGGGAAGACCAAAUCAUUCUGCCAGCAUGCACCUAUUUGGACAUAAAACUUGUGCUGGUUGCAGAUACAAAACAAGAAAACCGAAGAAAACCUCUAAAAGCAACUUCAGAACAUAAAAAGAAAACCCGCCAAAAGUCAAAGAGAACGUGUCUCACUGAGAGGAAACUGGAGAACGUGCAUAAGUCAAAAAUGACUCUGCUCACCACAGCUGCCUUGCUGCAGCACAGAAGGACUAGGAAAUCUUUGUUCCCUUUGCAUUUCCGUGACUGUCACAGGCACAGGAAGGAGAACCUGGCAAAGGCAGCAAGCUCCGUGCUCUCUUCCCUCCUUGUCUUCCUAGAUCCACCCCAGGCUGCACUCUUAGGAGAAAUGUCACUCAAGAAGACAGUAAGGGCUCUCAAGCUGAUGUCCUUUGCUGUCCACAAAGGCCUAGGUACACGUCCCAUGUAUGCCCCUCUCCUCACACACUGGACUCCCACUCCAUCAUUCAGUUUCCUUGUGUACUUUCAGAAACAGCUCAUCAGCCUUCCUAGAAAACCUUCUCAGAGGGCUGACUCUGGGCUCGCCUCUCAACACCUCUGUACCUUCCCAAGCCAUGAAACAACUUGUACCUUCUAUGACCCACCAGAAGCUCUGGGAGCCAGACUGUAUACUUUCCACACUUCAAUCUCCUUUCCUCUCUAGCAGCUAUGGUACAACAGUCACACAAUACGAUAACCCUCCAUGGAACUUCACUGAAAUCCCCAUCCUAACCAUUCUUCUCACGUGCUCAUCCAAAAUCAGCUAUUUGGUUUCUUGUAGUCCGAAAGACUCCCCAGGUACACACAUACAAGUAUGUGCAGGUAUGUUGAAGAGUGAAUGUAUAUUUAGGGAGCAUAUGGUGACAUGGUGAAGAGAUUUCAUCUGCCUGC